Molecule: small RNA, 828 nt
Filed under: Histoplasma capsulatum
Lineage: Eukaryota; Fungi; Ascomycota; Eurotiomycetes; Onygenales; Ajellomycetaceae
Also listed under: 1 other name
Description: hypothetical RNA
Source: RNAcentral
GCUAAUCUAUGCCGCUGCCAACCUACCUACCACUGCUAAUCUAUGCCGCUGCCAACCUACCUAUCGCUGCUAAUCUAUUGCUGCUAAUCUAUCGCUGCUAAUCUAUUGCUGCUAAUCUAUUGCUGCUAAUCUAUCGCUGCUAAUCUAUUGCUGCUAAUCUAUCGCUGCUAAUCUAUUGCUGCUAAUCUAUCGCUGCUAAUCUAUUGCUGCUAAUCUAUCUAUCACUGCUAAUCUAUCGCUGCCAACCUACCUACCGCUGCCAACCUAUCUACCACUGCCAACCUACCUACCGCUGCCAACCUACCUACCACUGCUAAUCUAUCGCUGCCAACCUAUAUAGGGUAAAUCAUGGUCCCAUUUGGUCCCAUUUUGUAAAAUGGGACCAAAUGGGACUGGGACCACUAAUUUAUUAGUAAAACAUGAUCUGGGACUAGAUUUAUAAUAUAAACAGUGUAAAGUGACUAAUUUACUAAACACUAUAUGGGACCAGGACUAAGAUAUCUAAUAAUGGAACUGAGGAAAAAUUUGGUCCCAGUCCCAUGCAUGGUCACACAGCCAGUCUAUUCUGAAUGCAGGAAGGAUUGAUGGGUAAUGAGCUGAGACCCUUUAGAAAUGUGUAAAGUGUGUCGUGCUUCAUUUGACUGGUCAUCCCAUCAAAUUAUUUGGUUAUAUAUAUAUAUAUAUAUAUACAUAUAACUAACUUCAAGUGCUUUAAGAUAGUGUUUAUAUAGUAGAAAGACCCAAGUUUAUACUGAUUGUGAUAGGCUUUUAUUUUUUGAUAACCAAAGAAUAUUUUUGAUUCUUAUUUAACCUUUGAAGGAGGACAUA